This 1586-nucleotide long non-coding RNA is filed under the name Cicer arietinum (chickpea). RNAcentral's name for it is "long non-coding RNA (CARI_LNC002497)". Lineage: Eukaryota; Viridiplantae; Streptophyta; Magnoliopsida; Fabales; Fabaceae. The record is from RNAcentral.
UUUUUAAUGCAUUUGAGAGAUUUAAUACAUCAUAUAAUAUUCAUAUGAGGUCAAUUAAUUAUGUGAUAUAUUACAAUUAAAAAUAAAAAUAACGAGUAAAAUAAGAUGAUAUAAUAAAUAAAAAAUAUAAUUAAUUUGGACGCUUUACAUAUUAAGUGGUAACUUUAUGUCUACUUCUCAUGUUCUUAUUUGCUCUCAUAAUCACUUAGAAGUAAACAAAACAAAUGUAGACACACUUUAGUGGAAUAAAACAGUAAACAAACAAACAUGAGAGUGUCCAUCAUGCAAAGUGUUGGAUAUCAUAUUUGUUUAAUUGUUAUGUUUAUUCUUUGGUUAAUUCUCAAUUAGUUGGUUAAUGAGUUUUAUGUGAACUUUGGGUUAGUUGUUGGUAACUUAGACGUGUUAGUUAGUUAUCCUUUAUAUAUAUACUUUACUUUUACUUUUUUCCAAUGAAAUAGUUUCAUUUUAUUUAAUAAUAUGGUAUAACCGACAACAAUUUCUCUUUUUUCUCCCUCUGUAGUUAAAGGUUUCUCUUUAAAGUGAUUAUCCCCUAUAAACUAAUGAAAUUAAAAAGGUUAUAGAAAGACACAAAAGAGAAUUGAUGAAACUCAUAGUGAGGUGUAUAUGAGAUGAAAAAAUAGAGGGUGGUGUCACUAACAUGGAGAUUGGGUGUGACAAAUGGCGUUUUAACCUUUCAGGUUGUUUUUUUACAAUGCAAAGAGACAUAACAUCAGCAAAAUAAAGGAAAAAGAGUCCAUACAACAUGGUUCUUGGUUGUAGUGGGGGAGAAAAUGAAAAGAUGAAUUACUUUUUAGGUACAAAGGCUAGACAAUUGCUAACAUUGCGACCUACGUUCACUUUUGUUGUCACGUGACUUUUUUAACGAUACAUUUAAUUUACAUUGUUUAAUUUAAUACAAUUGAUAAUUGCUAACAUAUUGAUAUUGACCAACCCUACAUGAAAAUUAAUGAGCUUCAAGAACUAUGAGUGGAAAUGUCAUUGACUAGAGAUAGAGCUAUGAAGCUAAAUGAGCAAUUGAAGAAACAAAUUGUUAAUUUUCUUAGUCUUAAGACCUAUGACAAGAUUGAUCCACAUCAUAUUAGUUUCUUGCUCAUAGAAAUACCUUAAGACUUAUUUUUAAUUUUGGAAUGUAAUAAUCAUACCUUUUAAUUAGGAAUUAUGUUGACUUGUGUGUGCGCCUAAAUAUUUGGUCGAUUAGGCACAAUGUCAUUAGAUAUGUGUAACCUAAACACCACAUCAUUUUUGUUAGGUUAUAUAUGCAUUUUCAUUAUAAAACAUGGGAUAACCUAUGCACAAUGUCAUUAGUUAUGAGUAACCUAGGAUGAACACAAAAUGGGAAAACAUGACUUCAUACUUUAGAGAAUUAAUUUGUGUUUGAUUUCCUUUCGUUUUGGAUAUAUAUUUGUGUUCCUCUAUUGGUAGAGGAUAAGUAAAUAUCAUUAUAUAUUUUGCACAUAUUUUGCUCAACUAAUUUGAGUUUGAUUUCUUUUCCUUUUUAUAUAUAUUUGUGUUUGUCUAAAUUUUCCAAAAUCAUAUGAAAUUUUAUGUUUAAGAAAUUAUUGCAU